GAUUGGAGCAGUAAACAGUGCGAUUUAGUGUUGAUACCACGGAAAUUUUCCACAAACCUGCAGCACGACAGAUAGGUCCUGGAAAUAAAAUUGAAUAAUUUUCACCGGUAGACGUGACAGGCUUUAAAGGUAACUGUGGAUGCACUGCCCCAGAAGGAGUUUCAGGAAAGCUUGCCUUAUGAAAUUCUUGAUAAGGAGCACCAAAACCAUAAAAAAUCAACAAAAUCACAGAAUAGCACAACCAGAGCUAGCAAGCCUGUAGCACUACAGCCAGAAACACCAAAAGCAGCAUCACCACUGAAAAGAGAGCAAAGGAGGAAGAAACCACAGCACCUCAAAGUGGCACAUCCAAUUCCCAAUGCUCCACAGUCAGUGCAGCUUGUUGCAGAAUUGAGCAAUCAAAAAGAAGACCUGGGUCACCUUAAAAACCAACUUAUGGCUAAGUGUUCACCUGAGCGUUUAAAGUUGCCCAAGCUGGACGCCUGCUACCCACGCAGGCAGGCAGUCUGGCCUGGGUUUGAGGUGCUGAGCUUAAAUACCUCACUGCCACAUUCACAGAAGGUAAAGGGUCGCUCAGCAACAGAGAAACUGGUGAAUGGCAGACCUGCAAGGCACAAUGGCAACUCCUUCCCCACUCUGAGGAAGAGCCCAUUGAAUGGAGGCCAGAAUCACCCUUCUAGCAGCAGUCUGGGUAAGGAAACAAACCAACCCCAGCAUUUCAUACCCUCCUCAUCAAUAAUGAUAUUGGAUUCAACGAGUCUCUCCCCAGGAGUGACCCAGAGGAACCAACAUGACAGAUCCUCUAAGCAGCACAGUUAUGCACUGGGCCACAGGCAAAAUCUCCAGCCAAUCAUAAGCAGUGUACCAUUGCCACUGCACUCUGGGGAUCAACUAACAUUUCAGCACAGGGUGAACAUCAGCAGAACAUAGAGUUUAGUGAUAAGCUAAGUCAUAUACUGCAUAUUGUUAGAGAUAAGUAUAUAGCAAUAAUCAUGAUAUUAUUAGAUUACUUAGAGAAUGUGUUGCUCAAAAUUAGAUGAUUAACAAAAAUAAGAUGUUUUUUGUGCUAUUAUUUCCAUCACAUUAUAUUUUCCAGUUAUUUCCGCUUUGAGCAUUGCUAAUUACUACUGAAUGGUAAGCUAAUCAUUUACAUAAAUUCACUUUUAUUCAUUUGCCAGAUGCUUUUGUUUAAAGAAAUGUAAAAUCGUUACAGGUAAUAUAUGUCAAGGAUGGAGCUGGCAGAGAGACAACUUUGGUACAAGUGCUCUGAGACUAAUCUUGACUGACCAGAAACCAGAAACAAACAUAUUGCUUACAUAUUUUGGCACAUUGUAACACUUAAUUUGGCAUGUUAUUAUUGUAUUGUGACUAAUUAAAAACUAUCACUCAAUGUAUUAUUAUGAUGUAUCAUUGCUUUUUUAAAACUAAAAAAAAAUGCUUUAAAAAAUUCUGAUCUAGUUAAAAAAUAUGUUUAGGAUAAAAAAAAUUGAAUAUCCUGGUUUUGUACAUUUCUUGUUGUUGGGGAGAAAGAAAAGCACAAUCCAUCACACCGCUGAUGCCAUAUGAAGACUAAACAGGUGUAUUAUGUAGCACAUGACCGUAAUUAUCUGACAAUUCUCACAGUGAUGCAUAAUUAAUAUGUGGCUUGAAAAUGAACUUGUGACACAGGAAGUUUGGAGUUUAGCUUAAUUUUGGUGGAGUAGUGAAUAUUGGAGAGAUUUUUUUUCUUUAGGCUGGUGUUUACAACAUACCCAAAUUAUGUAUGUUUAUUAAAUCAGUCCCACCUUCAGCAAGAGAGUGGUUUUUCGGGUAAAGUGAUUAUGUGCCCAAUGAACUGUUAGAGCUGGAGGCCACUGCGUCAUUCACAGCAUGAAUUUCUGGCUGCAACCACCACCUGCUAAACUGUGCUUGACCUUAGACUUGUUGCGGCCCCAUUGAUAUGCCUUGUCUCCACACCAGUCUCCACAGGACAUUACAGCACAUCUGUGUGUUGGAUCACAUGCUGUGGGCCCCUACAAGGGGCUUCUUCCCUUGAAGAUCCUGCCCUGUGUGUGCGGCCACUGGCCUGCAGUAGGGGUUUAAUCAUACAUAUCAACAAGUUUUUUUUUCUGGUUUGUCUUGAGGUCCUAUUUUUAGAAGAUGCAGAAGUAGACAUGGGAUAACAGACCUCAUGACUCUCAUUGUUACACUUCACGGGGAGCACGGACCAGGGAAGCAAGAGAAGGAGCCGUCGGGACAGGAACCACGGAGGGUGGAACAGGAACCGCUGUUUUCAGGGAUUUGAGGAUCUGCGGGAUAGCAUCCCCAAGACCCCUGGCACCUAUCAGUGCCAAGCACGUACCCCGAAAGGUACGGGCUUCAGGUACACACUCUGGCAUCGACGAAGCGGCGGAGGCUGUGGGCAGAUGAGCGUCGGGUGGCUGCGGCGAGCAGACGAGCUUCAGGCAUCUGCUGCGAAGCGGCGGGGAAUCCUGGGGAGGUGAACACCGCUGGGUGGAGAAUCGGGAGGGGAGGCAGCGGGAACUGAGAUGGAGCCUAGGAGGACCUCCCACGAUGGGAGCCUCACCUAUGCUAGGCCAGGACAUGCAGGGAGAAGCAAUGAUCUCACCAUGAUCCACACAAGAUAUCCCCGGAUCCGAGGAAGUCCCCUCCACUGGAGACUGGGUCUGCUCUUUCCUUGGUCUUUAAGCACCUUUCUUAGAUCCUCCACAAUUUUCUCCAACUCCUGAGGAAGGGAGGCUGGGGAUAUGGUUGCCAACCCCUGGUCCAUCCAUUUCAGCAAUGUGAUGGCCUUGGGUAACGCCUGCAUUUGGGGGUCCACAAACACCCUCCACUGUCAUCCUAGGAGUGCAAAGUACGUCUCUGCCUGGACACCCAGGGCAGGAGCAGCUUGGUGCGGCAAGGAAAAGACAGGUGGAGUGGUUUCGCUUCACAAGGGAGUGGCAAACAGAGCAAGGAGUGGCUCUGUAUCAUGGUGAAGGAACAGCAAACUGGGUGGCUUUACAUCAUGAGAAAGCAGCAGGCUGGGCAGCUUCGCAUGACCAGCAAGCGCCAGGUUGGGAAGCUUCACUUUCGCAGGCGUGGGCUGACGAGUCCGGUGUGUCCUCAUCUUCCCAGAUCAUCUGCUACCAGAGCCACACUGACAUAAGCUGACCCCUACUUCAGUGGAGGGGCUCCCAUUCUUUCGACGGUUCCUCUGGAUCAUCUUCAGAUGACUCGGAACAGAGUGGAUUGUUCACAUAGCUGCUGGGAAUAUCCUUUAUUACCAAGGAGGCGAAGUGGGCAGAUCUCUACACCAAGCAUAUGCUGGUACUUCGAAAACAAAAGGGAUGCGGCUGCCAGAGGUUUUCCCCCACCCCCUUCAAGAUGUGUGCAACUUUCCUGUGGGUGGCUGCAGCAGAGUUACUCCCACAGAGAGCAGAAGGGUGUUGGAGGACUGCUUGCAGUACUGGAUGCAGCUUAACGUCAUAUUCAGGAAAUAACAAAGAGCUGUCUAAGGACAUCAGAGACAAGAUUUUUGACCUUCACAAAUAUGGAAUGGGCUAAAUGACCAUCAGCAAGCAGCUUGGUGAGAAAGUGACAACUGUUGUUGCAAUUAUUCACAAAUGGAAGAAAGACAAAAUAACUGUCAAUUACCCUCGGUCUAGGGUCCCAAGGAAGAUCUCAUAUCAUAUGGCAUCAAUGAUCAUAUGGGAUCAAGAAUGGUGAGGGCUAACCCCAGAACUACACGGGAGGAGCUCACUAAUGAUCUCAAAGCAGCAGGGACCACAGUCAUCAAGAAAAUCAUCAGUAACACAUCAUGCCGUUACGAUUUUAAAUCCUGCAUUGCUUGCAAAAUAUCCCUGUUCAAGAGGGCCCAUGUUCAGGCCUGUCUGAAGUGUGCCAGUGAGCACCUGAAUAAUUCCAAUGAGGCUUGAAAGAAUGUGAUGUGGUCAGAUGAGACCAAAAUUGAGCUGUUUGGCAUCAUCUUCACUCGCCGUGUUUGGAGGAAAAAUAAUGCUUACUAUAACCCCAGGAACACCAUCCCUACUGUCAAACACGGAGGUGGAAGCAUUAGGCUUUGAGGGUGUUUUUCUGCAAAGGGUACAGGACAGCUGCACCACAUCGAAGGAAAGAUGGUCGGGGCAAUGUACUGUAGAAUCUUGGAUGACAACCUCCUUCCUUCAGCCAGGGCACGGAAAAUGCAUUGCGGGUGGGUCUUCUAGCAAGACAACGACCCUAAGCAUCCGGCCAAGGCAACAAAGGAGUGAUUCAAGAAGAACCAUAUUAUGAUCAUGGAGUGCCCUAGUCAGUCUCCGGACUUUAAUCCCAUAGAAAACCUAUGGAGGGAACUCAAGCUUCGUCUAUCCAAGUGACAGCCUAAAAACCUUAAAGAUUUGAAGGAGGUCUGCAAAGAGGAGUGGAUGAAAAUUCCUGAUGAUCUACAUGCAAUCCUGGUGACCAACUACAAAAAACAUUUGACAGCUAUGCUUCCAAACAAUGGUUAUUCCACCAAGUACUAAAGCAUGUGUUCCAAGGGAUUAAAUACUUAUUUCCUGAGAUGAAUGACAGAUUGGUUUGCAACUGUUACAUGAUGAUAUUUUCUUGCUUGUUUUGUUGAUAAUCUAUCUUUUGCUGUUAAAAUAAACCUACCAGUGAACUUA
This is a non-coding RNA of Paramormyrops kingsleyae, 4643 nucleotides long. Lineage: Eukaryota; Metazoa; Chordata; Actinopteri; Osteoglossiformes; Mormyridae. The record is from RefSeq and is a predicted model, not a curated record.